UCUCCGUUGGUGAACCAGCGGAGGGAUCAUUACCGAGUUAUACAACUCCCAAACCCGUGUGAACUUAUACCAUACCGUUGCUUCGGCGGGCUUCGACGCCCGGGACCGCACCCGCACUCCAGGCCUCGCCGGACGCGGCAGGCCCCGGGCGCGCGCCCGCCGGAGGACCCAAACUCUUCUGUAUCUACGCUACGCAUGUCUGAGUGGAUUUAAUAUCAAUGAAUCAAAACUUUCAACAACGGAUCUCUUGGUUCUGGCAUCGAUGAAGAACGCAGCGAAAUGCGAUAAGUAAUGUGAAUUGCAGAAUUCAGUGAACCAUCGAAUCUUUGAACGCACAUUGCGCCCGCCAGUAUUCUGGCGGGCAUGCCUGUUCGAGCGUCAUUUCAACCCUCAAGCGCUGCUUGGUGUUGGGGACCGGCCUGAAGGAGCCGCCCCCGAAAUGAAUUGGCGGUCUCGUCGCAGCGUCCUCUGCGUAGUAACAUACCACCUCGCAGCAAGGAGCGCGGCGCGGCCACUGCCGUAAAAAUCGCCAGUGAUGGCUUCUAGAGUUGACCUCGAAUCAGGUAGGAAUACCCGCUGAACUUAA
Molecule: ribosomal RNA, 586 nt
Filed under: Conoideocrella luteorostrata
Lineage: Eukaryota; Fungi; Ascomycota; Sordariomycetes; Hypocreales; Clavicipitaceae
Description: eukaryotic LSU rRNA
Rfam family: 5.8S ribosomal RNA (bases 228-381)
Source: RNAcentral